UCACAUAAAAUAUCUUUUAAUAAAUUUUUGUUUUAAAACAUAGUAACAAUUCAUAAUUAAUAUAUAUUUGAUAAUUUCAAAUCUCAUGUUAACAUAUCAUACUUACUUACAAAAUAUGAAUGUAAUCUCAGUGUAUAGAAAAUUUGACUUUAAAUAAUGCGUAUCAUUGGAAAAGACGAGGUUCAAUUUAGGCUUACUAGUAUAGCCUUGAAUUUCAACUUUAUCAUAAAAUUUCAAAUAGCCAUGAUUUUGUUCUUAAAUAGAUCUAUCAAUUUCCAAAAAAAUCCAAAAUCUCAAUAAAGUACCUCCUUUAGUUUAGCAUGAACUAUUCAACUAAGUAAUUACAAAUUAAAUCAAGAAAAUAAAGAAAUUAAAUUACAUUGUAUAUAAAUAAAAGACAAAUAUUUGGUAAUACAUAAACAUUAUUAAGAUUAAAGUACAAUUGCAAUCUUAUGAUGCACUACAAAGAUUUCCACAAUAAAUAAUAGGUACAUGUACUUAGGGAGCUACCAUUUGAUUUUUAUGGGGGGGGGCUAGGAUGAAAAAUUUGGUCCUGCUUUUUUUUUAGUUGUAAUCCCUGUCCUGCCUUUUUAUUUUUUACUCUAUUCGGUCCUGCCUUUUUUUUACUAGUUUAUCCUGACUUUUUUACCUAAAUUGUCAUCCUGCCUUUUUUUUUGCAAAGUGUCUCAUCCUGCCUUUUUUUUUACUCAAAACUCCUGUCCUGCCUAUUUUUUUCAAAUUUCAUCCUAGCCCCCCCCCAUAAAAAUCAAAUGGUAGCUCCCUUAUGAUGCACUACAAAGAUUUCCAAAAUAAAUAAUAGGUACAUGUACUUAGAAAAUAUGAUUGAUCCUAGCCCCAGAGUGAUUGUUUUAAAAACAGGACAAACAUUUUGUAAAACAAGAAUGUACGUGUACAUAGUACAUGGAUGCCCCACUCAAUCUAUCAUUUUCUAUGUUCAGUAAAACGUGAAAUCAUGGUCAAACUAUAAAUUGGCAUACAAAUUAGGAACACCAUAUCAUAGAAAUCAUGUGUACUAAGUAUAAAGUUGAUUGGAAUUUAACUUCAUCUAAAAUUAUCUCGACUUAAAAAACUUUAACCUGAAGCAAUGCAGACGAGCAGACUGACACAGACUGAAAAACGUUGGGUCAUAAAAAAUUGAAAUACAGCUAAAGCUAUACACAAUCGUGCAUAAAUGAGAUCUUUUUUCAAACUGACCAAACCAACCAAUUAUAAACUAAAUUGAAAAAAAAAAACAUGAGUUAAAAUACAUGUACCUAGUGUUAUAGACAUGCAUAACAAACAAUGGCAGGAGUAUUAAAAAAAAAAACUUUAAAAGAAAUCUUACAGAGAUUCAAAAUAUUUUAAUGGGCCAAUUAUGGCAGCCUAUUAUGGAUUAUGUUAUUGUAAUCAUUCAUAACAAAAUUAAUGCAUACAAUUUUGGGCUCUAUAGCUUGUUGUUCUGUGUGAGCCAUGUUGAAGGCCGUACAUUGACCUAUAAUGGUUUACUUAUUUUAAAUUGUUAUUUGGAUGGAGUGUUGUCUCAUUGGCACUCACACCACAUCUUCCUAUAUCUAUAAUAAUUAAAAUCAAUGAUUAAUAAAAUGGAGAAUGAAAAUAAGGAAUGUGUUAAAGAGCAGUGACAGAUCCAAGGGAUUGGGGGUUUGAACCGGCCAUUGAACAUCGCCCUUCUUUUUUUUUUAACGAUCAAUGCUUUUGAUUGGGAACAAAUGGUUGGAAUCCCCUAUUCAAAAUGGCUUGAUCCGCUCCUGAAGAGAUAACAAUGAUAAGCUAUAAAGAAAUGACAAAAUAAUGACAAAAAGAACCUAAAUGUUAACAUAAUGUUUCCGUAAAUAAUGCUGAGUUCACAUGUAAUUCGAAUUUGAUUCGUAUCAAUAUAAAAAAAUUAGUUUAAUUCGCAUUCGAAAACGUUUAACGUCAAUUCUAAUUUGAAUUGCAAAGCGUGUCAAAUUCCCUUUACUCUCCAAACGACGUUAACUUUUAAUUCGCAUAUUUCUAAUGCGAAUUAGAUAAUUGGAAUUAGCCAAUUUGAAUCAAUUCGAAUUAAAAAAGAAGAGUGUGUGAACGCGAUAAGCGAAUUAGAUUCGCAUUCAAUUUGAAUUAAAUGUACAUGUGAAUGAGGGAUAAAAUACACAAUAUCAAAAUAACCACAUAUACCAAUUUGUUGUACUAAUUACACAAUAAAUUACCUUACAUUAAAACCAUCAUUUAUUUAUGUCUGCAAAGCCUUGCAAACAUAUACAUGUAUAGGACACAAAAAUUUAAUUUUUCCUCAAUUGAUUAUAAUUAAUACCCACAAAAAUAAAUGAUCCGCAUUUAUAUAUAACAUACAAUUCAAUGGCACAAGACAUUGCAAGAUGCUGGCAAGAAAAUUUUGAAGAAAAAAUAAUCUUUUUAUACAUGAAUACUGUAUAUUGAUUAUUGUAAUGGAGUAUGUCUAAUUUCACUACUUUCACGAAAAA
RNAcentral lists this long non-coding RNA (2480 nucleotides) under Mytilus galloprovincialis (Mediterranean mussel). Lineage: Eukaryota; Metazoa; Mollusca; Bivalvia; Mytilida; Mytilidae. The record is from RNAcentral.